Long non-coding RNA from Equus caballus (horse), 1643 nucleotides. RefSeq lists it as uncharacterized. The record is from RefSeq and is a predicted model, not a curated record. NCBI's taxonomy places the organism in Eukaryota, Metazoa, Chordata, Mammalia, Perissodactyla, Equidae.
ACCACAUAGGCUGUGACUACAUCAUCUUCCAAUGCAGAUAUUAGGUAGAUCCAUCAAUUGUUUGAACACAAUAAAUCUUGGAGGAGAAACACAUACGUCCUGUAAACCUAAGGUAAUGGUAGCCACCCAGAAUUCAGUACUGUAAUUGCUAUGAAAGAGAUGCCAAAGGAGGAAACAAUAAUGAAGAUAAUAACUAGAAACAAUAAUGGAGAUAAUAACUAAUGAACACCUGUACAGAGCUCUCUGCUUUGUAUACAAUUGUCUUGAAUAUUACCUCAUUUGAUCUCCUCAGCAAUCCUAACAAGGAAUCAUUACUGUUGUCCCAUUUCACAGAUGAGGGCACUGAUGUUAAGUGAGGUACCCAGGAUCAAAGGGUGCUGGAGAGUAGACUCAGGUCUUCUGAGUUCCUAUCCUACACUCCUUCUAUGGCUCAGCUCUACAGCUACUCAAAACAAAACUUUUAACCUGGGCCUGGUCUAUGUGUUCACAGUGGGUUGAAAUUCAUUACCAAGUCACACAUGAUAUGAACCAAGGCAAAGGUUAACAGCUCCAGAGUGGUGUCAUGUAUCCCAGUAAGCAGAGCAUAAAUUUGGAGGGCCAAGAGAGGGCAGGGUGAAAAGCUGGCACAGGGACACCCUACUUCUUACUGCAGAUCCUAGUUAGAGUUCUCCAGCCUUCCCUAACUGUCCUUUUGCUUGAUACCCAGCAACUUGUGCUAUGCCUGGCUCCUCUCGUUUCUUCUGUCACAAUGGAGUCCCAGCUGUGGUCCAGGCCCUGGGAAUACAGACAUGGAUGAUAUGCCUUGCCUCUGGGUUUGUCUGACCCUCACCCUGAGUCAUGAUGGAGCCUCAUCUCACCUCCAUGACGCAUCCUACCUGGCUGUCCACACUGCCUAACCUGGCUUCUUCCAGGGAGGACUAGACGGUGCUAUCUUUACUUGUGAUGCUGUGAAUUAACAUGCUAUUGAGAAACCUCUCCCCGGGCUUUUAAAUGGCACCUCCAGUGUAGUGAAGAGAGGAGUCGCUUUCAAACAAGGACAACACUGAACCAAAGCUGUAGAAAAACAAGAUGGAUGAGACGUGGCCCCUGACCUUCAGGCAGGGACUCGGCACACUGUAGGAUAAAACUCUGGUUUAACUGUUGCUGAACGAGGAGAACACCAGCCACAGAGGACGAGGCCAGCAGACCAUCGCUGGAUAUUCUUAAGGCAACUGAUUCAAGGGAACAUUCCACACUCUGAAACCAAGGAGUCUCCAGAAAUAAAGAGUAUUUCCCUGAAAUUCGGCCAUUAAAUGAAGGAUUGACCUUUUACGUGUUAGUUAAAUUAAAAAGAAGAACUAACAGCAUGUGCUUCAAAGUUGGAGAACACAGUCUGUGGGGAGGGGCUGUCCUCCAGGCAAGGGGCAGAGUUGACUCCGCGUUAAAGGGUGGGAAUAUCUUUGUUCUCAGACCUUUCCCUUCCCCAAUUCCCAUCUUACAGAACCAUAGAAGUUAGAGGUAAGGGGGAUCUUGGAGUGUAUUUUGUCCAGCCCUUCCAUGUCACAGCAAGAAAACACAGGUUCCGAGAUUCACGUACUCUCCGAGCGGCGAGUCACAGCUCUGCCCUGCCUGCUGCUAAUCUGACAAACAAAUUCUGCUGAGUG